UCUUCUUGGCAAUUAGCUUAGCCCUCCAUGCUUUUGCAACAGUAAUACCCACAGAAUAUGUUUGCCUCAUAUCUUGGAUGAUGUCUCUUAUCCUGACUGUAUCAGAAGUUUGCAUCCUCUUUACCACAUUCUUUGGCCACCCACUUUGAGCUAGCAGACUUGUUGUUCAAAACCCUAGCACAUGUGUGCUUAUGUACAAGUGUUUUUAUAGCAAA
This 215-nucleotide long non-coding RNA is filed under the name Lathyrus oleraceus (garden pea). RNAcentral's name for it is "Pisum sativum (pea) long non-coding RNA (PSAT_LNC005584)". Lineage: Eukaryota; Viridiplantae; Streptophyta; Magnoliopsida; Fabales; Fabaceae. The record is from RNAcentral.